UGAAGUUGAAAAAUUUCUUACUUCAAACUCUAUUUUAAAAUAGAAAACUGAGUGAAAUUUGAGAUACUCUAAUGUCAAUUUACCUAUCUAUGUGGUAUAGUUGCUACCUUGUUUUUGCCAAGGUGCCAAGCUCAUGAGAAAUCUCUUGCUUUGUAAAACUCUUAAUCAUAUAAUGAUAUUUACAGUUAAGCAGAAACAUUUUUGAUGUUUUUUAAAUAUAAAAAAUAUCCGUAGUAAUAGAUAACUUCUUCAAAAUGGCUUAGAACACGUUACUUGAGUCUUUUCUCUACCGUCAAGAUAUGAACUCAUGAUUUCAACAGAAAAAGAAAUCGUAUGGACUCUCUCCUGAAACACCAAUUAUAUAAGAGGUUGGGUUACGU
Molecule: long non-coding RNA, 380 nt
Filed under: Brassica napus (rape)
Lineage: Eukaryota; Viridiplantae; Streptophyta; Magnoliopsida; Brassicales; Brassicaceae
Description: long non-coding RNA (BNAP_LNC020263)
Source: RNAcentral